Dicentrarchus labrax (European seabass) is the source of this 1516-nucleotide long non-coding RNA. RefSeq lists it as uncharacterized. The record is from RefSeq and is a predicted model, not a curated record. Lineage: Eukaryota; Metazoa; Chordata; Actinopteri; Moronidae. The transcript is spliced from 2 exons.
GUCAACUUGCUAACAUAAGCUGAACUAUGAUGGUGAACAUGGCAGGUAUUAAACCAACUUGUUAAACAUCAUCGUGAAAGCAUGCAGCAAGUUAGCACGGGCCCAAAGCAGCUGUACAGCCUCACAGAGUGACUGGCAUGGCUGUACUCAAGUUUCGGGUUAUUUCACUUCAAAUUGGAUUGUAUUGACAUUCUACAUGUUACAGGUUAGACCUUAUAUAAUUCAAAUUGACUCCUUUUAGACCUAAUUAAACCAUCAUAUUUAUAGCAGUAAAACAUGCCCUGUAAACAGGCUUUUGGUAAGUAAAAUACAAUUGAGUAAUAAUAAUUAAAUCAUUUUAAAGAUCUGAUCUGAUUCAUCUGGGGGAAAGGCGGUUGGUUAGGUGGAAGAAAAAUAAAAACAAGGGCACAAAAUAAGCCCUCAUUUGUAACAAAGACCAAUAUAAAUCUGUGAAACCCUCAUACUAAUCAUAACGAGCAUAACAACCAAAUGGAAAUCCCUGAACCCUCCUUCAGGCCACACACUGUUUGAAGAAUCAGGAAAUUGCCUGCCACUCAUAAUGAUGUCACUGCGCAUAAUAAAGUAGUCUGCAGCUCACACACAGCCCGGAGAGAGAGGCAGGCAGUCAGCAGUGCGAGUGCAGCAGCCAGUGGGAUGAACUGAGUUUACACGAAAGGGGGGAAAAUCUAAUAAGUGACCGAGACAACCUAUUGGGAUUUGCCUAAGGAUCUGUCGGUUGGAAGCGUCUCCACCAGCCUCCGCAGAUAACUGGAGCGAAAGACAAGAAAGGAGACAUCGCACAUCGGCCGAGUUGCCACUUGUCCUUUUUAUACCACAGGAGCCAUGGUGGCAGCAGUCCUGAAGAUAUACUUUAUUGGCACGGCGCUGAGUGUCCUUGCUGUCCUCUUUGGAUUAGCGGACUCCUUUGGUGGUCUGAUGUACGUCCAGGAGGACAUUCACUACAUUUUGGAGCUGGACCACCGGACAGAGACAAAGGGGGGAGUCUCCUCAGGCGACCACCAGAGAUCAUCUGUGACUAAAAACAUCGGCUCAUGAGAUGGGGGGGGGAACUCAUGUGGAAAGUGGGUCCCAUUUUUCUAAGCGUGGCUGCUGGAUGGACACGCUGGACAUUGUGUGGCUAAUGGACUGACGGACAGUGAACCUGAAUGAUUGUGCUGUUUCUACUGCCGAGUAUCAACAUCAUGGUGAUGGCUAACUUGCUGGACGUGUUCUUCUCCUUUUUUUUUUUUUUUAUGUCUCGCCCUAGACUAGUUUGUUGAUAUGGAUGCAUAAUCCCUGCAGCACGUCUCUGUUUUGCUCUUCUGUGUACCAUCUGCUGUUAAACACUGUAGCAGCUAGCUUGUGUUAAAGGCAACUACAAAUCUGACGUGUAACUGUAACCGCACUACUGAACACUGAUUUGCACUAAAACUUAGGAAUGUUUUGGCUUUUGUCAGGAAAAAUGUGGAUUUUGAGGUUGUUGUGUUUUUUUAAUAAAAUGAAUUACGUGUUGCAA